This 377-nucleotide long non-coding RNA is filed under the name Elaeis guineensis (African oil palm). Its description in RNAcentral is "long non-coding RNA (EGUI_LNC017323)". Lineage: Eukaryota; Viridiplantae; Streptophyta; Magnoliopsida; Arecales; Arecaceae. The record is from RNAcentral.
GCCUUCUACAAGAAUUGGACUCCGUCUGAACUUCCAUAGCGAAUGGAUUUCGGACGAACUUCUACAACGGAUGGGCUCCAGUAGCUAGAUUUCUACAACGAUCGACCACCAUCGGUGUCUACCGUACCUCCCCAGCCAUCAACCUCCAAUAGCAUCAGUCAGACUUCAACAACGCCAUCCGAACUUCCACUAGAUCCUCCAGACUCCUCCAACAGAUGAACCUCCCCAACGCCACCCGAAGUCCACUACCGAUCGACCCUCUACUGGAUUCCUCAUGAAAUCGGACUUUCCCAAUAAAAAGUCUCCAUCCGAGCUUCUACAGCAGAUGACUCCUGCCUGCAGCAUCAGUGCUCUAGGCACCCAACAAUAGUGGACCC